CUGCCCAGUGACAUAGUUCAACGGCCGCGGUAUCCUAACCGUGCAAAGGUAGCAUAAUCACUUGCCUAUUAAUUGUAGGCUAGAAUGAACGGAUAAACGAAAUAAAAACUGUCUCAGUUAGUAUGCUAAAAACUACUCUCUAUAAGAAGAAUUAUAGAUAUAAUAGAAGGACAAGAAGACCCUAUAGAGCUUUAUUUAAAUAGAGGAUUAAGUCCUCUAAAAAAUUCGGUUGGGGCGACCAAGGAAUCAAAAAUCAUCCUUUAUACAAUAGAUCUAUAAAUCAAAUAAAUGACCCUAAUAAGAUCACAAAAAUAAGCUACCUUAGGGAUAACAGGCUAAUCCUGUUUAAGAGUUCAUAUCGACAACAGGGUUUGGCACCUCGAUGUUGGCUUAGGGAAUCAAUAUAGCGCAAAAGUUAUAUAAAGAUGGUUUGUUCAACCAAUAACACCCU
RNAcentral lists this ribosomal RNA (451 nucleotides) under Benhaminae sp. 1093. RNAcentral describes it as "partial 16S ribosomal RNA". It matches the Rfam family "Bacterial large subunit ribosomal RNA", at positions 1859 to 2597 of the family's 2925-position model. Lineage: Eukaryota; Metazoa; Annelida; Clitellata; Crassiclitellata; Acanthodrilidae. The record is from RNAcentral.